This 357-nucleotide transfer-messenger RNA is filed under the name Paracoccaceae bacterium. RNAcentral describes it as "Rhodobacteraceae bacterium (sponge metagenome) transfer-messenger RNA". It matches the Rfam family "Alphaproteobacteria transfer-messenger RNA". Rfam says of the family: Bacterial tmRNA, also known as 10Sa RNA or SsrA, is named for its dual tRNA and mRNA-like properties. Its role is to liberate the mRNA from a stalled ribosome. Lineage: Bacteria; Pseudomonadati; Pseudomonadota; Alphaproteobacteria; Rhodobacterales; Paracoccaceae. The record is from RNAcentral.
UACCUGCCCGGGCACAACGGGGGAGAGUACAUUGGCUGUUCCACUUCGGUGGGUAGACAAUAGCCAUCAGGACUGCAACAGACGUGACGGACCCGGGGGGCGGUACCCGACUGCACCACCAUACAACAAUCACGGGGCAGAUAACAGGAUCGACAUACGCUCUACGGGCAUAAUCCGUGGCUCGGCACGCGCCACCGUUAUCGGCGAAAACAAUACAAAAUCAGUACAAUUGAAAACGGCAAUCGUGCGCCGGUUGCCUUGGCUGCGUAAGCGGUCCGGGUCGAACCGAUACUAAGCCCCGGGGCCCUGGUCGGCCUGGGCGGGGCCCGCAGGUGCCUGGCAAGUGAACAUAACAGA